Molecule: transfer RNA, 72 nt
Filed under: Brugia pahangi
Lineage: Eukaryota; Metazoa; Nematoda; Chromadorea; Rhabditida; Onchocercidae
Rfam family: tRNA
About the family: Transfer RNA (tRNA) molecules are approximately 80 nucleotides in length.
Source: Rfam by way of RNAcentral
GUGAGUGUAGCCAAGUGGUAAGGCAGCGGUUUUCGAUGUCGCUGUGUCAAAGUUCGAAUCCUUCUAUCCAGG